GGUUUCCACUUUUGGAAACCCUCAGUUUCUCUCCGCCUCCCUCUCACUUUCUCUCUCUUCUCUCUCGUUCUUUCCCCCUCUCACCCGAGCUCUUCCCCUCCCUCGGCUUCGACCUUCGAUCUCCCUCAUCCGAGGGAGGUGUUCCUCACCGCCGGCUCCAUGGCACUCAGCAGCUCGACGCGACGUCCCACCGAUCAUGGCACAAGCUCCAGCGUCGCCGCGAAGAUCAUCGAACCACACCGAGCCCAGCAACAACAGGUUCCAGUUCUCCGCCGUUCGAGCAGCCCUCCGCCGACGCAAGCACACGAUCCACACCUCUCUCUUCCCUCCGACGCCGUAGAUGAGCUACCACUAUGCAACUCGAGCCGAGGCAAGUCACCCUUGAAGGAUCGAGCUCCACCGACGAUCCAUCCAUCUCCGACGAGUUCCAAGAGCCCCACUAUACGAUCUAGGUGAUCGUUAAAUCGAGGAAAGGAAUUAGCAUCGCGAAUUGUGGAAUUACGCUCAAGUCAAUAAGGGGAUACUUCCACAGGUGCUGAGUAGUGGUGAUCGGGUGACGACUCCGAAGACUCGAAGUCGAUUGCAUUCAGUUGUGGUGAGGUUCCAGCGCGCAUUGUGUGUGAGAUUUGUUGUGAUUUUAUUUGUGAGGUUGUUGUGAGGAUUAUACAAUUCCAUUUGUUAUAUGUUGAAUUAUCAUUUGGUUUGUAAUAAUCGGCUUGACUGAGUUAUGUUUUAAACUCAGAGGUGAUCCGCUGUGACAUUAAAAUGAUUUCAUUUUCAGUGAGAUUGUUUUUGGUGUUCUAACGACUUUGAAAUUUUGAGUUUUUAGGCUCGAAAUUUUAGGGUCGUUACAGUUGGUAUCAGAGCCUAAGUGCGUAUUUGGCGAUUAUCAAUACCAUCCAGGAGCGAUGAUCCGACUGCAGGCGGGCUCCCAUCACAUGCUCCUCGGUAUAGAUAUGUUGUCGGGUACGCGAGAGUGUUAGGAGCCAUACCUUAUGGUUUGGUCCUGUAGAGAGUAUUGUGACGAUACUCCGAUGAUUCACCUUCUUCUGAAACUUCAUGAUUGAUAUUGGUUGGAUCUAUUUUGUCGAAUUCGAGACUUCACAUGUAUGACUGAGUGUUAAUUGUUGAAUGGUGAUGAAUUUGGAAAAUGGCCGUGGACAGGGCCGAGGACGGACGAGAGGUCGAGGCCGAGUUAGGGCUGCAGGCCGAGUCCGCAAUGUACAGAACCUUUAUUAGGAGGCUGCUCCACUGGAAAGACAAGUUGAUCUUGUUGCUAUCAUUAGAGACGAUAGUCGUGUGUUGAGGUUGAUCACAGACAUGAGUGAGCUGCUAGUGCUGUCAUUUCAUGACGCUUGGAUCAUAUGGUAGCGGACCAUUGGAUCGGAG
Long non-coding RNA from Argentina anserina (silverweed cinquefoil), 1389 nucleotides. RefSeq lists it as uncharacterized. The record is from RefSeq and is a predicted model, not a curated record. The transcript has 3 exons. NCBI's taxonomy places the organism in Eukaryota, Viridiplantae, Streptophyta, Magnoliopsida, Rosales, Rosaceae.